AGCAGAGAAGGUGACAAAAUACAUAGGAAAAACUUUUUCGCAAUUCAUCAAAACCAAUGCAUGGAUGGAUUCAGGAACAAAAGGGGAAAUGACUACGUGGGUGACCGCCCUCGAAUAUCACAUUGGCGCAUCCGACGCAAGCCUUAACGAGUCUCUCGUCCAGAAUAACUACGGCCUUGUGGUGCUCUCUGGUGUCUCUUCCCUACCACAGUAUUUCUGGACUCUAAGGCAGAACAAUUACCUGCAAAAACUGACGCUAAUGAAGACUGCGUACGAGAAAAGUAAUAUGUG
Molecule: long non-coding RNA, 291 nt
Organism: Dermacentor silvarum
Lineage: Eukaryota; Metazoa; Arthropoda; Arachnida; Ixodida; Ixodidae
Exons: 3
Source: RefSeq, a predicted model, not a curated record